Non-coding RNA from Stegodyphus mimosarum, 73 nucleotides. Lineage: Eukaryota; Metazoa; Arthropoda; Arachnida; Araneae; Eresidae. The record is from Rfam.
GCCUUCGUGGUGUAAUGGUCAGCACGCUGGGCGCGUAUUCCAGAGGUCCGUGGUUCGAGUCCCGGCGAAGGCG